AGUGAACGCUGGCGGCGUGCCUAAUACAUGCAAGUCGAACGGAAUUUAAAAGGGCUUGCUCUUUUAAAUUUAGUGGCGCACGGGUGAGUAAUAUAUAGCUAAUCUGCCCCUUGCUGGAGGACAACAGUUAGAAAUGACUGCUAAUACUCCAUACUCCUUUUUACCAUAAGAUAAAUCGGGAAAGAAUUUCGGCAAGGGAUGAGACUAUAUCGUAUCAGCUAGUCGGUGGGGUAACGGCCUACCGAGGCUAUGACGCGUAACUGGUCUGAGAGGAUGAUCAGUCACAUUGGAACUGAGACACGGUCCAAACUCCUACGGGAGGCAGCAGUAGGGAAUAUUGCGCAAUGGGGGAAACCCUGACGCAGCAACGCCGCGUGGAGGAUGACACUUUUCGGAGCGUAAACUCCUUUUGUUAGGGAAGAAU
Molecule: ribosomal RNA, 424 nt
Filed under: Campylobacter gracilis
Lineage: Bacteria; Pseudomonadati; Campylobacterota; Epsilonproteobacteria; Campylobacterales; Campylobacteraceae
Description: bacterial SSU rRNA
Rfam family: Bacterial small subunit ribosomal RNA
Source: RNAcentral